Molecule: non-coding RNA, 654 nt
Organism: Drosophila melanogaster (fruit fly)
Lineage: Eukaryota; Metazoa; Arthropoda; Insecta; Diptera; Drosophilidae
Source: Ensembl
GCCACCAGAGCUCGUCUGGAGCACAACUAGUUUCGGAAAAAUACAAAUUUCAAAAGGCUCUCGAAAUUCUUAGUGCAGCGACGGAAAUCUAUUUGUGAACUCUGCGUUAUAAUACAUCUAGACGCACACAUACAAAUAACAAUACUGCCAUGCAUGUCAAUCGAAUAAUCAUACUGCCAUUCAAGUCAAUCGAAUAAUCAUACUGCCAUGCCAUUCAAACAAAGACAUACAUACAAGAUUCAUUCACGAACAGAGUGCAGUUGGUGCUAGCUCCCACUACCGCCGAAAUGGCCACAUGUCCAAACUAAUCUAAUCAACCCAAUUCCCCAUCCCAUAUGUUGAUUGCCUGACCUUGGUAAGGGUCAACUGACACAUUCAAUUCGAAUUUGACAAACAAGAAGAAAAGGACAAGACGAAUACUCGCCAUUGCCUUUUGUAACAACGAGAAGGUGAUUGCAAAACUAUCGUUUAACACAAAAACUGAGAAACGAACAUCAAGACUCCUUCAACAUUUGACAUUUUGCCAACGGGUUAAAAUAGUAUAGCUAUCAAAUCGAGAUGGUACGGGUUCCAUUGGACGAGAGGAUUGCAUCGUUUUGCCCGAUAUUAACAUUUCGCUUGUCCUUUUCUGUAUAAACACAAUUCAUUGAACGC